Molecule: transfer RNA, 75 nt
Filed under: Osteogeneiosus militaris (soldier catfish)
Lineage: Eukaryota; Metazoa; Chordata; Actinopteri; Siluriformes; Ariidae
Description: tRNA-Lys
Source: RNAcentral
CACUAGGAAGCUAAACUGGGACUAGCAUUAGCCUUUUAAGCUAAAGAUUGGUGAUCCCCCAACCACCUCUAGUGA